GGGGAGUGACGUCAAGUCCUCAUGGCCCUUAUAGGUGGGGCUACACACGUCAUACAAUGGCUGGUACAAAGGGUUGCCAACCCGCGAGGGGGAGCCAAUCCCAUAAAGCCAGUCGUAGUCCGGAUCGCAGUCUGCAACUCGACUGCGUGAAGUCGGAAUCGCUAGUAAUCGUGGAUCAGCAUGUCACGGUGAAUACGUUCCCGGGUCUU
Molecule: ribosomal RNA, 209 nt
Filed under: uncultured Comamonas sp.
Lineage: Bacteria; Pseudomonadati; Pseudomonadota; Betaproteobacteria; Burkholderiales; Comamonadaceae
Description: partial 16S ribosomal RNA
Rfam family: Bacterial small subunit ribosomal RNA
Source: RNAcentral